AUUGAACGCUGGCGGCAUGCUUUACACAUGCAAGUCGAACGGCAGCGCGGGCUUCGGCCUGGCGGCGAGUGGCGAACGGGUGAGUAAUGCAUCGGAACGUGCCCAGUAGUGGGGGAUAGCCCGGCGAAAGCCGGAUUAAUACCGCAUACGACCUGAGGGUGAAAGCGGGGGACCGAAAGGCCUCGCGCUAUUGGAGCGGCCGAUGUCGGAUUAGCUAGUUGGUGGGGUAAAGGCUUACCAAGGCGACGAUCCGUAGCUGGUCUGAGAGGACGACCAGCCACACUGGGACUGAGACACGGGCCAGACUCCCACGGGAGGGACCAGGGGGGAAUUUUUGGCAAAGGGGGGAACCCCUAUCCCGCCCUGCCCCGGGGGGGAAAAAGGGCCUUCGGGUUGAAAACCGUUUUUGUUGGGGAAAAAAUCCUUUGGGUUAAAACCCCGGGGGGAUGCCUGUCCCGGAAAAAUAAGCACCGGCUAACUACGG
This 484-nucleotide ribosomal RNA is filed under the name uncultured bacterium. RNAcentral describes it as "partial 16S ribosomal RNA". It matches the Rfam family "Bacterial small subunit ribosomal RNA", at positions 29 to 506 of the family's 1533-position model. The record is from RNAcentral.